This 497-nucleotide ribosomal RNA is filed under the name uncultured bacterium. RNAcentral's name for it is "partial 16S ribosomal RNA". It matches the Rfam family "Bacterial small subunit ribosomal RNA", at positions 28 to 507 of the family's 1533-position model. The record is from RNAcentral.
GAUGAACGCUGGCGGCGUGCCUAACACAUGCAAGUCGAGCGAACAGACGAGGAGCUUGCUCCUUUGACGUUAGCGGCGGACGGGUGAGUAACAAGUGCAUAACCUACUUAUAUGUCUGGGAUAACUUCGGGAAACAGGAGAUAAUACUGCAUAAUACGUUGAACCGCAUGGAUCAACAGUGAAAGACGGUCUUGCCGUCACUUAUAGAUGGAUCCGCGCCGCAUUAGCUAGUUGGUAAGGUAACGCCUUACCAAGGGACCGAUGCGUAGCCGACCUGAGAAGGUGAACGGGCACACUGGAACCUGAGCACGGGCCAAACUCCUAAGGGAGGGAGCAGGAGGGAAACUUCCGCAAAGGGCGGAAGCCUGACGGAACAACGCCCGGGGAGGGAAAAAAGUCUUCUGAUCGGAAAACUCUUUUAGUAGGGAAAAACAAGUGUGAAGGUAACUAUGCGCGGCUCUGCGGUACCUAAACGGAAAGGCACGGCUAACUUCGGU